Molecule: ribosomal RNA, 811 nt
Filed under: uncultured Actinomycetes bacterium
Lineage: Bacteria; Bacillati; Actinomycetota; Actinomycetes
Description: bacterial SSU rRNA
Rfam family: Bacterial small subunit ribosomal RNA
Source: RNAcentral
GAACGGAAAGGCCUGCAGCUUGCUGCGGGUACUCGAGUGGCGAACGGGUGAGUAACACGUGGGUGAUCUGCCUUGCACUUCGGGAUAAGCUUGGGAAACUGGGUCUAAUACCGGAUAGGACAGCUGUUUAGUGUCAGUUGUGGAAAGUUUUUUCGGUGCAAGAUGAGCUCGCGGCCUAUCAGCUUGUUGGUGGGGUAAUGGCCUACCAAGGCGUCGACGGGUAGCCGGCCUGAGAGGGUGUACGGCCACAUUGGGACUGAGAUACGGCCCAGACUCCUACGGGAGGCAGCAGUGGGGAAUAUUGCACAAUGGGCGGAAGCCUGAUGCAGCGACGCCGCGUGGGGGAUGAAGGCCUUCGGGUUGUAAACUCCUUUCGACAGGGACGAAGCGUAAGUGACGGUACCUGUAUAAGAAGCACCGGCUAACUACGUGCCAGCAGCCGCGGUAAUACGUAGGGUGCGAGCGUUGUCCGGAAUUACUGGGCGUAAAGAGCUCGUAGGUGGUUUGUCGCGUCGUCUGUGAAAUUCCGGGGCUUAACUCCGGGCGUGCAGGCGAUACGGGCUGACUUGAGUGCUGUAGGGGAGACUGGAAUUCCUGGUGUAGCGGUGAAAUGCGCAGAUAUCAGGAGGAACACCGAUGGCGAAGGCAGGUCUCUGGGCAGUAACUGACGCUGAGGAGCGAAAGCAUGGGUAGCGAACAGGAUUAGAUACCCUGGUAGUCCAUGCCGUAAACGGUGGGCGCUAGGUGUAGGGGGCUUCCACGUCUUCUGUGCCGUAGCUAACGCAUUAAGCGCCCCGCCUGGGGAGUACGC